GUUAGUAACACGUGGGUGAUCUGCCCUGCACUUCGGGAUAAGCCUGGGAAACUGGGUCUAAUACCGGAUAGGAGCCAUUUUUAGUGUGAUGGUUGGAAAGUUUUUUCGGUGUAGGAUGAGCUCGCGGCCUAUCAGCUUGUUGGUGGGGUAAUGGCCUACCAAGGCGGCGACGGGUAGCCGGCCUGAGAGGGUGGACGGCCACAUUGGGACUGAGAUACGGCCCAG
This 225-nucleotide ribosomal RNA is filed under the name uncultured Actinomycetales bacterium. Its description in RNAcentral is "partial 16S ribosomal RNA". It matches the Rfam family "Bacterial small subunit ribosomal RNA", at positions 106 to 334 of the family's 1533-position model. Lineage: Bacteria; Bacillati; Actinomycetota; Actinomycetes; Actinomycetales. The record is from RNAcentral.